UAAAUCAUUGAAAAUAAGGAAUUUUCAUCAAACCUUAUCACUUUGCACGACCAUUAUUCUGAAAAACAGAGAGAAAAGAAAACCAAAAAACCAUUUCUUGGCUGGUUUGAAGAAAUUCUAAGGAGAUCCAAGUGAAAGCAAAGCCAAAGAAGUAGAUUAAGCUUAGUUCUAGCCUUUUUAUGAUAUUUCUUGGGGUUUCCAAGUGGUUUGAGGUUUAGAAAAGCUUGAAGAGAUUGUUUUCGCCGAAAAGUUGCUCGGAUAAGCACAUCAAUACCUAAGACAUCACUUGUUACACGGUGAAAUAUAUUGUGGACAAAAGGUAGAGAAGGAAAUAUGUGAAUGAUAUGAGGAGAACUGAAGCAUGGUCCUGACCCUGAUUUGUACAUAUGAACACAUCGACCUUUUUGUGGGUUAUUUCAGUUAUCAGUGAGAUGUUUGUAAUAAAGUGUGAAGUUAUGUUUUGAAAAUAAAUUGGGUUAUUUAAUACUUAUGUAUAAUAUGUUUGAGACACACUUUAUGUUUAAUGUAAAUAAGGUGAAAUAAGUUUUCAAGUUUAAAAAAAAAAAAUGUCCAGACUUCCGCAGAAAUAAAUUAUGAUAUAGUUUUAAAACGUAACACCUCAAAUAUGGUUUUUAACUAAAAUAAGUGAGGGUGUUACACCUCCAUUUCUACUUGGACUCUGAAUGUUUAUGAUUCGGACGUGACAGUGAUAAGUGAUAAACAACUGCAAUCAUUUAUGAAGUCAUGGUCUACUUUGUUCCCAUCGUUGUUAUUGCAGUCACAACUUUUCAAGGAUAACCCUUAGUUGACGAUUCCACCUGGAGCUAAAAGAUGAAAAGAGUUCAACGUGCAUCGCAUGCCAGUUGAUUCAGUACCCCAAACCAA
This is a long non-coding RNA of Humulus lupulus (European hop), 885 nucleotides long. RefSeq lists it as uncharacterized. The transcript has 4 exons. The record is from RefSeq and is a predicted model, not a curated record. Lineage: Eukaryota; Viridiplantae; Streptophyta; Magnoliopsida; Rosales; Cannabaceae.